This is an RNA transcript of Otolemur garnettii (small-eared galago), 1348 nucleotides long. It is a transcript of the gene named keratin, type I cytoskeletal 18 pseudogene, with no coding region annotated. Lineage: Eukaryota; Metazoa; Chordata; Mammalia; Primates; Galagidae. The record is from RefSeq and is a predicted model, not a curated record. The transcript has 2 exons.
AUGAAGCCCAGCUCGCCUGAGUUUUGUCCUCUCCUCUUCUUACAUCAUGUCCUGUACUACUCGUCUACCACCUUUUCCAGCAAUUACCGGUCCCUGGGCUCAGUCCAGGCACCCAGCUACAGUGUCCGGCCCACCAGUAGCGCAGCCAGCGUCUAUGCAGGUGCCGGGGGCUCCGGCUCCUGGAUCUCCAUGUCCCACUCCACGAGCUUCCGGGGCGGCUGGGGGCCUGGCCACGGGGAUGGCCGGGGGGCUGGCGGGAAUAGGGGGCAUCCAGACCAAGAAGGAGACCAUGCAAGAACUGAAUGACUGCCUGGCCUCCUACCUGGACAGAGGAACCUGGAGACCAAUAAUCGGAGGCUGGAGAGCAAAAUCCUUGAACCCCUGGAGAAGAAGAGGCCCCAGGUCAGAGACUGGGUGCAUUACUUCAAGACCAUCGAGGACCUGAGGGCUUAGAUCUUCGCAAAUUCUGUGGACAAUGCUCGCGUCGUUCUGCAGAUUGGCAACGCCCGUCUUGCUGCUGAUGACUUUAGAGUCAAGUAUGAGACAGAACUGGCCAUGUGCCAAUCUGUGGAGAGUGACAUCCAUGGGCACCGAAAGGUCAUUGAUGACACCAAUAUCACUCGACUGCAGUUGGAGUCAGAGAUCGAGGCUCUCAAGGAGGAGCUCCUCUUCAUGAAGAAGAACCACGAGGAGGAAGAAAAAGUCCUACAAGCCCAGAUUGCCAGCUCUGGGUUGACUGUGGAGGUAGAUGCUCCCAAAUCCCAGGACCUGAGCAAGAUCAUGGCAGACAUGCAGGCCCAGUAUGAUGAGCUGGCUCAGAAGAAGAGCUGGCCCAAUAUGAUGAGCUGGCAAAAAGAGCUGGUCAAGACCUGAUCUCAGCAGAUUGAGGAGAGCACCUCAGUGGUCACCUCACAGUUUGCUGAAGUUGGAGCUCCUAAGACAAUGCUCACAGAGCUGAUGCGUACAGUCCAGUCCUUGGAGAUUGAACUGGACUCUAUGAGAAAUCAGAAGUCCAGGCUCCAUGGAGGAUAGCCUGAGGGAGGUGGAGGCCCACUACACCAUGCAACUCAAUGAGGUCCUGCUGCAUUUGGAGUCAGAGCUGGCACAGACCUGGGGAGAGGGGCAGCGCCAGGCCCAGGAGUAUGAGGCACUGCUGAACAUCAAGGUCAAGCUAGAGGCUGAGAUUGCCACCUACCACCGUCUGCUGGAAGAUGGGGAGGACUUCAACCUUGGUGAUGCCCUGGACAGCAGCAAUUCCAUGCAAACCAUCCAAAAGACCACCACCCGCAGGAUAGUAGACGGCAACGUGGUGUCUGAGACCAAUGACACCAAAGUUCUGAGACAUUGA